Molecule: ribosomal RNA, 937 nt
Filed under: uncultured delta proteobacterium
Lineage: Bacteria; Deltaproteobacteria
Description: bacterial SSU rRNA
Rfam family: Bacterial small subunit ribosomal RNA
Source: RNAcentral
AGAGUUUGAUCAUGGCUCAGAACGAACGCUGGCGGCGUGCUUAACACAUGCAAGUCGAACGCGAACGAGUUCUUCGGAACUUCAGUAGAGUGGCGCACGGGUGAGUAACGCGUAAGUAAUCUACCCUCGCAUUUGGGAUAACCCACCGAAAGGUGUGCUAAUACCGGAUACGUCUAUUUUAAUAUCUUUUUUAUAGAGAAAGGUGGCCUCUGAUUCAAGCUACUGUGCGGGGAGGAGCUUGCGUACCAUUAGCUAGUUGGUAGGGUAAUGGCCUACCAAGGCAACGAUGGUUAGCGGGUCUGAGAGGAUGAUCCGCCACACUGGAACUGAAACACGGACCAGACUCCUACGGGAGGCAGCAGUGAGGAAUAUUGCGCAAUGGGGGCAACCCCGACGCAGCGACGCCGCGUGGAUGAUGAAGGCCUUCGGGUUGUAAAAUCCUGUCAGAUGGGAAGAAGUGUAAUAUGGUUAAUAUCUGUAUCAUUUGACGGUACCAUCAAAGGAAGCACCGGCUAACUCCGUGCCAGCAGCCGCGGUAAUACGGAGGGUGCAAGCGUUGUUCGGAAUUACUGGGCGUAAAGCGCGCGUAGGCGGUUGUAUAAGUCAGAUGUGAAAGUCCAUGGCUCAACCAUGGAAGUGCAUUUGAAACUGUAUAACUUGAGUACUGGAGGGGGUGGUGGAAUUCCCGGUGUAGAGGUGAAAUUCGUAGAUAUCGGGAGGAAUACCGGUGGCGAAGGCGACCACCUGGCCAGAUACUGACGCUGAGGUGCGAAAGCGUGGGGAGCAAACAGGAUUAGAUACCCUGGUAGUCCACGCCGUAAACGAUGUGAACUAGGUGUUGGGAUGGUUAAUCGUCUCAUUGCCGGAGCUAACGCAUUAAGUUCACCGCCUGGGGAGUACGGUCGCAAGAUUAAAACUCAAAGGAAUUGACGGGGGC